Long non-coding RNA from Dermochelys coriacea (leatherback sea turtle), 2734 nucleotides. RefSeq lists it as uncharacterized. The record is from RefSeq and is a predicted model, not a curated record. NCBI's taxonomy places the organism in Eukaryota, Metazoa, Chordata, Testudines, Dermochelyidae. The transcript has 5 exons.
AGAGUUCCCCAGUGACCCAUUAACAACAGAUUUUUAUGGAAAAGAAGCAUGGUUAAACUGGUGAAAAUAACUAUGCACAAGUCAUAAUAGCACUCAGUUUUCAGAAGAGCUUGGCAGACUUGGCCUAGCAGGUGACCUGCACUCUGCACACCUGGCUAGCCAUAAGGAAUUGCCUGUUUCUAUCUGGGCUUCUGAGGAGAGCUGUUCUAAUGCAACAGAAACCAGGCCGGAGUGAGAAACACAGAGCAGACAGUCUAUUCUCAUGGUUUCAGAUCAGCCCCUCCAAAACGGAGCACCUAGAGACCCCAGCCAGGAUCAGGGCUACAUUAUGCUGGGCCCUGCACACUCUCAGGAGGACAUCACCUUUCCCUGAAGAGCUUACAGUUUAAUAGAAGACAAUUCUGCUGAAGAUUUGCCAUCAAGGCACCAUAUUGUUUCUGUAGUGCAUUUACAACACAACAGCUCCAAGCAAAAUGAAGGGAAGGAAGCAACUAUAUGUAUCACAGCUAGACACUGCUUCAAAGGAACAGGCCAUUUCCAUAGUUGAAGCCCUAUGACCUGAAGGAGGUGAGAGCAGCCAGGGCUUGCUUCAGUUGCCAUAGGCCAUUUGUUUUCCCUUUGAAGAAGAAGAGGUGUAAAAUAAAAUCAAGGUUGUACCUUAUAUACCUGCCAUGUUGCUGCCUGGUGAAACACAAGGCAAAUACACACAGUCAUUUGUAUUCAAACUGCGCAGGGGGGGGACAUUCUGCCAUUAAAUGGUUCUCAGCUCUCCUCCUGCAAUUGGAAGAGCCUGUAAUUGCUACCCAAUUGGUUGGUAUUUAGCAUGCAAUAUCAUGUAUUAGUGAGCACUAAGUACUGUUUCAUGUUGGAUGCUGAGAACCAUAAGAGAUAGCUAGAGUUUAAAAUGGAAGUCUGCUCUGAUUAUGUCAAUGAUUAGAUUAGCUUCCUCAUGUUUUGCUGGGAUGUGUUCAUUAGCAUUCCUACUGGACUUUCCAUCUGUCCAAACUCCUUGCAAAGGUUAACAAAUUAAUCCUCACAGCACCCUGGAAAGGAGCAAUAUAACUUGUCUCAUUUUAUGAUGAGGAAAACUGAAGGAGAGAGGUUUUGUGAUUUGUCCAAGGUCACAGACUACAUCAUAGUGCCCUGAUUAGGGACCAAGAGUUCCUGGUGCCUGGUCACAUGCUGAGGCCACCAGCCCACACCUUUCUCUCUUUGCUUGGAGUCCUAAGAUUAUAACCCAUUUGAUUUUAACCACUAAGCCAGCACCACAGAUCCCCACACAUCAUGAAACCCUCUGAUUUUGACAUGUGUUGUGCAGUGGCUGGAGCAGGAGCCAGGAGACCCAGGUUCUGUUCUGACUCUGCUGCUGGUUCACUGUCAGAUCUUAGCCAAAUCAUCUAAAAUAUCUGUAUCUCUACCCUUCAGCCUUACAUAUAAUGGUACCAGCAGUAACCUGCAUUUGGAGGAAGCUAUGUUAGCCUCAGGUGCAAACUGGUAAUUAUCACUAUUAUUACAGGGCAUCAAGGUGCCUGCCUGGAUUGUGAACAUUAUUGGGUCAGCUGGUCAAAAUCAGCAUAUUUCCAUUGUUCCCAGUGAAGCCAUGGUGAUGACAUCCACUGGGAAUUUGGUCAGCAGUUAUAUUAACCUCAGACGGAAUUUACCAUCAAGACAUUUCCAAUGAGGGGUGUCCUCUUUUAGGCCCUGUUCCUCCAGUUGCAUCCAUGUGGGUAGACCCUUGGCUCACAUUUGGAGCCUUAGGCAAAUAAACAUACCUAAGUCCAGUAUAAUAUGAAAACAUAUAAAGGGAAGGAUUUAUCAGUGUAGCAGUGUGUGCAGCUAGGGCUACUGGUGCUGAAAUAAGUCUCAUUGCAUUAGGAACCCAGAGCUAGUGCCAAGUGUAGUAGUGACACAAUAAUGUGGUGCUUGGAGACCUGAAUGCACCAUGUGCAUUAAGAAAGUAAGAUCAGAGAUUUAUUUGCCAAUCUAGACAGAGUGCUGAGUUAUUCCAUUCAUUUCCUGGUUUUCUCCUACAAAUCUGUCAUGUUCAUAAUUAUUGCUUGUUUUUAGCUAUUGACAGAAUAUAAAAAUGAAGGAAAGCAUGAUAUCAUAGACAGUCACAUAGUCCAUUAGUGCAGUGUGGGGGACAGAUUUCUGAUAUAUUCAGCUCUGACCACUGGCUUUAUUUCAAAGAAUAGAAAUGCGUGGUAGAGUUAGGAAUACCCUAGGAUUUACAUGGAGAAGCUGUGCUAGGUAGAAGUGUCAUUAGAUUCUGCAAAGGGUGGCAAAGUUGAAUAUUCAGGGAGGGCUUAUUCACUCAUUGCCUUCAGUAGUAGUUUUAUCUGAAUAACAAGGGCAGAAUCAGGUCCCUAAUUAUAUCAUCAUCUUGCCAUGCAAGAAUUUCACACUAUUAUUCCAUAAAGUCCUGCUCAUGCUUUCAGCUGGAAUCAGUGGAAGUUUGCUAUUGACUUCAGUAAGUGCAUGAUCCCCAAAACUGAGUCCUAUAUAUGGGCCUGCUCCAAACCCCUUACUGAAGCCAAUGGAAAGACUCCUAUUGAUUUCAGUAAGCUUUUGAUCAGGCCCUGGUGAGUGGCAGGUGUUUCCAUAAGUAUGCAAGAAAUGUUUAUCCUUCUGAGCACUCUGACAACAGAACUUGAAUUAAUUUGCAGAUCAAGAUACUUGGCUGCUGCCAAAUGUCUGAACUUGUUUCUUGAAGGAUUUUACUUCCUGUGACACA